AACGCAUAUUGCGCUCUCCGGCAUUCCGGAGAGCAUGCCUGUUUGAGUCUUGGUACCAAUCUGGUGUAACCUUUGUAUUAAGAAUAGAACUUUUUAUAAAAAACUGCAUUGAGACGUCUUGAUAAGUAAAAUUGUUAAGUGUCUUAAAAUACAAUAGUACAGCUAUAGCUCACCCUCUUUGGAGUAAUAUGUGACCUGAAAGGGUAACUCUAUUUCUCCUCGUUGGGAAGACUUGUUGCUGGAAGUUUUUGAUUGCUGAACGUCAAAGGCGGCAUUCAAUUGUUCGAGUAACGACGAACUUAAAAAUUCAAGCUCAAAUCAGGUAGGAUUACCCGCUGAACUUAA
RNAcentral lists this unclassified non-coding RNA (345 nucleotides) under uncultured Olpidium. Its description in RNAcentral is "sequence contains ITS2". Lineage: Eukaryota; Fungi; Olpidiomycota; Olpidiomycetes; Olpidiales; Olpidiaceae. The record is from RNAcentral.